GAUCAUGGCUCAGGAUAAACGCUAGCGGCAGGCCUAACACAUGCAAGUCGAGGGGCAGCGGAAGAAGUAGCUUGCUACUUCUGCCGGCGACCGGCGCACGGGUGCGUAACGCGUAUGCAACCUACCUUUAACAGGGGGAUAAUCCGAAGAAAUUUGGUCUAAUACCCCAUAAUAUUUCAGAAGGCAUCUUUUGAGGUUGAAAACUCCGGUGGUUAAAGAUGGGCAUGCGUUGUAUUAGCUAGAUGGUGAGG
RNAcentral lists this ribosomal RNA (251 nucleotides) under uncultured bacterium. RNAcentral describes it as "partial 16S ribosomal RNA". It matches the Rfam family "Bacterial small subunit ribosomal RNA", at positions 15 to 257 of the family's 1533-position model. The record is from RNAcentral.